UCUCUGUGAUGAUGAAAAUGAUGACGAGUCUGAUCUCUAUAUCCAUUCAACUUGAUGACAAAUCGAGGCAUUUGUCUGAGAGUA
Juglans regia (Persian walnut) is the source of this 84-nucleotide small nucleolar RNA. The record is from RefSeq and is a predicted model, not a curated record. NCBI's taxonomy places the organism in Eukaryota, Viridiplantae, Streptophyta, Magnoliopsida, Fagales, Juglandaceae.